Long non-coding RNA from Carassius auratus (goldfish), 565 nucleotides. RefSeq lists it as uncharacterized. The transcript has 3 exons. Lineage: Eukaryota; Metazoa; Chordata; Actinopteri; Cypriniformes; Cyprinidae. The record is from RefSeq and is a predicted model, not a curated record.
GUUGGUUAAGAAUGAUUUUGUCAGCCCUUUUACUCACUCUGGAUGAGUGCAGGUCUUGGAGAUUGGGGUGAGUUGUACCAGUGAUUCACUCAGCAGUCUGGACAGUCCGCUGCAUUUGGUAUGAGCUGAACCAGACAGUUGUAGAAGUGCAGAGGAUGGAUUCAAUGACUGCAGAGUAGAACUGUACCAGCAGCUCCUGUGACAAGUUGGACUUUAUCAGCUGGUGAAGGAAAUACAUCCUCUGCUGGAAUGUUUAGGAGUCUAUGUGGAACUCCCACUUUAGCUCCUGAGAGAUGGUGGUGCCCAGGAACCUGAAUGAUUCAACUGCUGUUUAUGAUGGAGAAUGCAGUGCAGUCAAACUGCAGUGAGUCCAGCAAGCUUCCAGUGAUGUCCUUCAGGGCUGUUCUGUCCCAGUAUAUUCUGGGUGGUGUAGUCGACGUGUAUUCACAGUUGGUCUACUGAACAUCAUGGACAUUCCUCACUCAACAUCAGUUGCAUUUAUAUCUGUGCCAUUGAUAGUCUGCAGCAGUUUUGAAAGGAGGGUGCAACAGAUUUGAUCAAAUUU